Tinamus guttatus (white-throated tinamou) is the source of this 297-nucleotide non-coding RNA. NCBI's taxonomy places the organism in Eukaryota, Metazoa, Chordata, Aves, Tinamiformes, Tinamidae. The record is from RefSeq and is a predicted model, not a curated record.
UUUGGAAAGAUGAAACCUCGUUAUGAGAUCAACUCCCUUAUUAGAUAUCACUGCAAAGAUGGUUUCAUCCAGCGUCAUAUUCCAACUAUCCGGUGUCAAGGGAAUGGAAGAUGGGAUAUGCCUAAAAUUACUUGCAUGAAUCCGUCCACAUACCAAAGGACUUAUUCUAAGAAAUAUUACUAUAAACAUUCUUCAUCAGGAAAAGGAACACCAUUAAAUUCAUCAAAACACUAUCAUCGCUGGAUCAGGAUGUGGCAGGACUCAAGGCGCUAAAUGUUAAAUGGUGAAUAGGGAUUU